UGAGGAAUAUUGGACAAUGGGCGCAAGCCUGAUCCAGCCAUGCCGCGUGAGUGAUGAAGGCCUUAGGGUUGUAAUGCUCUUUUUGGCGGGGACGAUAAUGACGGUACCCGCAGAAUAAGCCCCGGCUAACUUCGUGCCAGCAGCCGCGGUAAUACGAAGGGGGCUAGCGUUGUUCGGAAUUACUGGGCGUAAAGCGCACGUAGGCGGAUCAGCAAGUCAGGGGUGAAAUCCCGGGGCUCAACCUCGGAACUGCCUCUGAUACUGCUGGUCUGGAGUCCGGAAGAGGUGGGUGGAAUUCCUAGUGUAGAGGUGAAAUUCGCAGAUAUUAGGAAGAACACCGGUGGCGAAGGCGGCCCACUGGUCCGGUACUGACGCUGAGGUGCGAAAGCGUGGGGAGCAAACAGGAUUAGAU
This 412-nucleotide ribosomal RNA is filed under the name uncultured bacterium. Its description in RNAcentral is "bacterial SSU rRNA". It matches the Rfam family "Bacterial small subunit ribosomal RNA", at positions 355 to 783 of the family's 1533-position model. The record is from RNAcentral.